This 227-nucleotide long non-coding RNA is filed under the name Elaeis guineensis (African oil palm). RNAcentral describes it as "long non-coding RNA (EGUI_LNC039267)". The record is from RNAcentral. Lineage: Eukaryota; Viridiplantae; Streptophyta; Magnoliopsida; Arecales; Arecaceae.
GUUGGGCUUUCAUCCCUAUAUGCUGGCUCCAGGACCCAGCCAAUAUCGUAUUUGUUGUUUCUAGAUAAUUGGCUACUAGUGGGCCACUGAGUAUUUGGAAUGUCAUUGGCUUUAUGAGGAUCAUCAAAGGUUACUGCCUUUCUUUGAGGUAGAAGGUGAACCUUGGCAAGUCAGUUAUCCUUUUCAGUCCGAAGAUGAAGGCCUAUCUAAGAUAAGUUAUCAAGGAU